AACGAACGCUGGCGGCAUGCCUAACACAUGCAAGUCGAACGAGACCUUCGGGUCUAGUGGCGCACGGGUGCGUAACGCGUGGGAAUCUGCCCUUGGGUUCGGAAUAACAGUUGGAAACGACUGCUAAUACCGGAUGAUGACGUAAGUCCAAAGAUUUAUCGCCCAGGGAUGAGCCCGCGUAGGAUUAGCUAGUUGGUGGGGUAAAGGCCUACCAAGGCGACGAUCCUUAGCUGGUCUGAGAGGAUGAUCAGCCACACUGGGACUGAGACACGGCCCAGACUCCUACGGGAGGCAGCAGUGGGGAAUAUUGGACAAUGGGCGAAAGCCUGAUACAGCAAUGCCGCGUGAGUGAUGAAGGCCUUAGGGUUGUAAAGCUCUUUUACCCGGGAUGAUAAUGACAGUACCGGGAGAAUAAGCCCCGGCUAACUCCGUG
RNAcentral lists this ribosomal RNA (433 nucleotides) under uncultured bacterium. Its description in RNAcentral is "partial 16S ribosomal RNA". It matches the Rfam family "Bacterial small subunit ribosomal RNA", at positions 29 to 507 of the family's 1533-position model. The record is from RNAcentral.